CACGUAGGGCGCAAGCGUUGUCCGGAAUUAUUGGGCGUAAAGAGCUCGUAGGCGGUCUGUUACGUCUGCUGUGAAAACUCGGGGCUUAACCCCGAGCCUGCAGUGGAUACGGGCAGACUAGAGGUAGGUAGGGGAGAAUGGAAUUCCCGGUGUAGCGGUGAAAUGCGCAGAUAUCGGGAGGAACACCGGUGGCGAAGGCGGUUCUCUGGGCCUUACCUGACGCUGAGGAGCGAAAGCGUGGGGAGCGAACAGG
Molecule: ribosomal RNA, 253 nt
Filed under: uncultured bacterium
Lineage: Bacteria
Description: partial 16S ribosomal RNA
Rfam family: Bacterial small subunit ribosomal RNA
Source: RNAcentral